This 499-nucleotide ribosomal RNA is filed under the name uncultured bacterium. Its description in RNAcentral is "partial 16S ribosomal RNA". It matches the Rfam family "Bacterial small subunit ribosomal RNA", at positions 28 to 507 of the family's 1533-position model. The record is from RNAcentral.
GACGAACGCUGGCGGCGUGCCUAAUACAUGCAAGUCGAGCGGAUUUUCAAGAAGCUUGCUUUUUGAAAGUUAGCGGCGGACGGGUGAGUAACACGUGGGCAACCUGCCUGCAAGACGGGGAUAACUCCGGGAAACCGGGGCUAAUACCGGAUAAUAUCUUCCUUCGCAUGAAGGAAGGUUGAAAGGCGGCGCAAGCUGCCGCUUGCAGAUGGGCCCGCGGCGCAUUAGCUAGUUGGUGAGGUAACGGCUCACCAAGGCGACGAUGCGUAGCCGACCUGAGAGGGUGAUCGGCCACACUGGGACUGAGACACGGCCCAGACUCCUACGGGAGGCAGCAGUAGGGAAUCUUCCGCAAUGGACGAAAGUCUGACGGAGCAACGCCGCGUGAGCGAAGAAGGUCCUCGGAUCGUAAAGCUCUGUUGUCAGAGAAGAACAAGUACCGUUCGAACAGGGCGGUACCUUGACGGUACCUGACCAGAAAGCCACGGCUAACUACGUG